AUUGAACGCUGGCGGCAUGCUUUACACAUGCAAGUCGAACGGUAACAGGCCGCAAGGUGCUGACGAGUGGCGAACGGGUGGGUAAUGCAUCGGAACGUGCCCAGUCGUGGGGGAUAACUACUCGAAAGAGUAGCUAAUACCGCAUACGAUCUAUGGAUGACAGCGGGGGACCGUAAGGCCUCGCGCGAUUGGAGCGGCCGAUGUCAGAUUAGGUAGUUGGUGGGGUAAAGGCUCACCAAGCCAACGAUCUGUAGCUGGUCUGAGAGGACGACCAGCCACACUGGGACUGAGACACGGCCCAGACUCCUACGGGAGGCAGCAGUGGGGAAUUUUGGACAAUGGGCGCAAGCCUGAUCCAGCAAUGCCGCGUGCAGGAAGAAGGCCUUCGGGUUGUAAACUGCUUUUGUACGGAACGAAACGGCUCUGGUUAAUACCCGGGGCUAAUGACGGUACCGUAAGAAUAAGCACCGGCUAACUACGUG
Molecule: ribosomal RNA, 482 nt
Filed under: uncultured bacterium
Lineage: Bacteria
Description: partial 16S ribosomal RNA
Rfam family: Bacterial small subunit ribosomal RNA
Source: RNAcentral